GCGGCGUGCCUAACACAUGCAAGUCGAACGGAGAUGUUCGCUGAUGAAGUACUUCGGUAAUGAUUCUUGAAUAUCUUAGUGGCGGACGGGUGAGUAACGCGUGAGCAACCUGCCUUUCAGAGGGGGAUAACGUUCGGAAACGAACGCUAAUACCGCAUGACAUUGUUGAGUCGCAUGACAUGACAAUCAAAGGAGCAAUCCGCUGAAAGAUGGGCUCGCGUCCGAUUAGGUAGUUGGUGGGGCAACGGCCCACCAAGCCGACGAUCGGUAGCCGGACUGAGAGGUUGAACGGCCACAUUGGGACUGAGACACGGCCCAGACUCCUACGGGAGGCAGCAGUGAGGGAUAUUGGUCAAUGGGGGAAACCCUGAACCAGCAACGCCGCGUGAGGGAAGACGGUUUUCGGAUUGUAAACCUCUGUCCUCUGUGAAGAUAAUGACGGUAGCAGAGGAGGAAGCUCCGGCUAACUACGUGCCAGCAGCCGCGGUAAUACGUAGGGAGCAAGCGUUGUCCGGAUUUACUGGGUGUAAAGGGUGCGUAGGCGGCUUUGCAAGUCAGAAGUGAAAUCCAUGGGCUUAACCCAUGAACUGCUUUUGAAACUGCAGAGCUUGAGUGGAGUAGAGGUAGGCGGAAUUCCCGGUGUAGCGGUGAAAUGCGUAGAGAUCGGGAGGAACACCAGUGGCGAAGGCGGCCUACUGGGCUCUAACUGACCCCUGAGGCACGAAAGCGUGGGUAGCAAACAGGAUUAGAUACCCUGGUAGUCCACGCUGUAAACGAUGAUUACUAGGUGUGGGUGGACUGACCCCAUCCGUGCCGGAGUUAACACAAUAAGUAAUCCACCUGGGGAGUACGACCGCAAGGUUGAAACUCAAAGGAAUUGACGGGGGCCCGCACAAGCGGUGGAGCAUGUGGUUUAAUUCGAAGCAACGCGAAGAACCUUACCAGGCCUUGACAUCCUGAUGGCGUAGGCGUAACGGCUUAUUCCCCUCGGGGCAUCAGAGACAGGUGGUGCAUGGUUGUCGUCAGCUCGUGUCGUGAGAUGUUGGGUUAAGUCCCGCAACGAGCGCAACCCUUAUUCCCAGUAGCCAGCAUUUUGGAUGGGCACUCUGGGGAGACUGCCGGGGAAGACCCGGAGGAAGGCGGGGAUGACGUCAAAUCAUCAUGCCCCUUAUGGCCUGGGCUACACACGUGCUACAAUGGCACAUACAAAGGGAGGCAAAGGAGUGAUCUGAAGCAAAUCCCAGAAAAGGCGCCCCAGUUCGGAUUGCAGCCUGCAACUCGGCUGCAUGAAGCUGGAAUCGCUAGUAAUCGAGGAUCAGAAUGCCGCGGUGAAUACGUUCCCGGGU
This 1346-nucleotide ribosomal RNA is filed under the name uncultured bacterium. Its description in RNAcentral is "bacterial SSU rRNA". It matches the Rfam family "Bacterial small subunit ribosomal RNA", at positions 39 to 1379 of the family's 1533-position model. The record is from RNAcentral.